This is a long non-coding RNA of Equus asinus (donkey), 3471 nucleotides long. NCBI's taxonomy places the organism in Eukaryota, Metazoa, Chordata, Mammalia, Perissodactyla, Equidae. The record is from Ensembl.
CCUUCCUUCGCCUCCCAAUCUCCUCCUCCCCUCUCAGAAGCGCUCACUGUUAAGUGUCCGAAUUAUGACUGCAAAGCGAUUGCUGCCCUCAGUUACAGAAAAAAGGAAACCGCCUCCUUUGUCUUCCCUCAUCAACCUCCCAGGCUGGGUCUCCCCAGCAGCAGCGCUCGUUGUCUCCAUGAGAUGCGGGGGCACACGUCUCGUUUUAGACAGUGUCCAUCCUCGUAGUCCCGUAGUCUAGCCACACAGCGGCGUUUCCAAGGCCGAUUUCUCAUCUACUGCCCCUUCCUAUCUCAUGUGAAAGCGCCUCCUUCCUUUUCUAGCUGGAUUACCUCUGUGUGACCUGGAUUCCAGCCUUCCCAGAGGCUUCCUUGAAGGAACCACAGUGCCUGAGGAUCAAGAACGAUUCACUGCUGGAUCCUCCAACGCCUCUACGGUAAGCGGUAAGCGGUAAGUGGUGGCAAUGGAAAUAUGCAGGAGCUCCACUGCUGAGGCCCUGAGGUCACCAGGUUUUGUCUACACCUCCUCAAUCAACUAAUGCCCUAAUCAGCACUGACUCCCCCAGCUUCCUGAUUAGUGACUUGCUGGAGCCGCAUGACAAGUCAGGAUACAACUGUGAGUCAACCUCUUGUUUCUGGUGCCUCAUCACUUCUCCCCAAAGACAGCCAUACAUCACUUAGGAAGAAAUGAGGAAACGAGGCAAACAAGAAAUGAAGAAACUGAGCAAAAAAGAAAAUAAAAAAGACCAAAAUCAGAUCCCAUGUAUUUGUGUAGGAGGGACUGGCUCGAUUGUGAACGCUGAAGAAGCAUACACACUGUCUGCCAUGGAAGGACAAGAGGGCACUGCUCUGCAAAACUCGGAAACUCGGAUGUUCCAUUACUUACUUGGCCUCUUUAGACCGUAUCCUCAGAGGAGAUGUAUCUUUGAACUCAAAUUCAAUAUUUGACCAAACCAAACAACUAAAAAUGUUCAUUAAAAACAAACAAAGCCAAAACCAACAAUAGCCUAAAUAUUAGGAAAAAUUCCUUUUGUGAAUUAAAUUUACUUACUAAUAGAUUCAUUCUUAAAGUUAGAUGCUUUCUUUUUUACCAAGGCUUUGCAAGCUUUUAGUUUACGGAAAGAAGUUAUUAUUGACGGAAUUUAGUUUUCCUGAGAACUCAGUAUUAUUUUCAACUCUAAGAAUACACAUGCGUUGCAGUAAAGAGACAUGGUCUAAUAUUAUGCAAAAAUCUCACCUAAGGUCUGGCAAAUCAGAGCAGUUCCCAGGCCCCACACAGCACCAAAGUGUCAUUGGAACCAGUGCUUCAGAAUAAGGAGCCUCUCUAAUUUGUCUCAUCCCCAAAGAAGCUAGUCCACUGGAAUAGGCACACAGUGAUACUCAAUAAUACUGCUUAAAUCAAGAAAUCUGUAUUUAUGUACAUAUAUUCAUUGACUCUCAGAAUUACUUACGUAAUGUACUUAUGCACCUUUAUUUCUCCAGGCAAAACAAUUCAGGUAAAACUGCCCUCCUCUUUUCCAGUUUCCUUUCCUUCAAAAAUCCUCCUCCUUUCAGGUUUUCCUCUUCGACACUGCUGUGGACAUUAACUUUAAUUAGGUUAGAAUCCUGUACAAAAUGCUGGGGAGCAGGAGACAAGAGGUACAUUUGACCUAGACUCCAAAGCUUCACAGAUGGCCCCCGACAUGGAGAGGAGCCAGCACAAAUUUCAGCACAGUUUUCUACACUGUAUUAUGUGCCCCCAAAUGCAACUCUCCAUUAGAAAACAGGAAUGUCAUGGCUUGAGUAUUGACUUCAGAGUCCUCACCCAGAACAGACUUGGGUGGCCUACAGAAGUGCUUGAGAUUUUCUGCUCACUCCACAGGGUAAACACUGAAGGCUGCUAUUGCAAUCAUCCAAGUAAAAUUUUUGUGUUUACACUUUAGCAUCAUUCAUAUUAACUGUCUAGUCCCUCUGUAAGUUUCUGAAAAAAUAAGGUAGGCAAGUUCAGAGUUUGGAUGAUGAUAAAAGGCCAGAAAAUGUCUAGAGCAUAUGGAGAGGCCUGGGGGGUGGGGAGAGGGCUUGUAGGGGUAGAGAGCCCCGGUGAACUAGAAGUCAGCAUGAGGGCACUGGACACCAUGGAUAAAACAUAAUGUCACUGACAGGGAGAAAAGAAGACUAAAGGAAACUAACAUUUCCAAAAAAUAAUUUCACAGCAGGCAGGCCCUGCGUUAGGACUUAGCAUAUACCAGCAUAUAUUAGCAUAUGAGAUUCAGGAGGAAGGAGAAUUUUUGUGCUUAUUUACAGUCAUUCAAGCAACAUUCAAAUAUAUUUUUGUUGUUUUGUUAUGUGAUUUACAGUUACAAAAAAAAAAGGAAGAAAGAAAAGCAAUGAGAAAAGUACAUUUUCCUAGAGAAAAAGUACCAUUGCUCUAGGUGUGAAAACCUGUGAACUAGAGAGACAAAUUAUCUGUCCCCUACCCAUCCAAUAUCCAUGGUGGGGUGGGCAUAGGAUAAUCACUAUAAACACUCCCAAUCAAAAAGGGAGACAACAGUAGGCAUGGAGCAGUCUCUGGGCCACAGCAAAUCCAACAGCACACAUGUGGCCAAUUUCUUGAUUAGGGUUCACUUUACUGCCUGCAAUGAUUCUCCUCAGCUCUUGGCUCCAUCCUCUGAGUUACCCUUCCUAUUUCAUAAAAUACAGCCCACACUUUAAGUUCAGUAGUUUGAUGAGCCUGCUUCCUGCCUGUAGAAGUUCCAGGGUCUAACAGCUUCUUUUCAUUUUGAAGCCAUCUCUGUUCCCUAUAGUCCAAGCUGGUAGUAUUUCUACACAUACAAUUUUCUUAAAAGCUCUUUCUUAUUGCCCUUAUUGGGGUUUAUUUCAUUCGAAAAAAGCCACAUCGACAAAUCUUACCUACCUGGGGCUCCCUGUAAAGCUGCUGUGGAUUAAUACCCUUAAUAGUCUUAGAAUUCCUAUUGUUUAAUGGAAAGGAUCUUUAAGCUUUUCUUUUUGCAAGGACUCAGAAGGUACCACCUUAAGUCCUUCUGGGUUCUUAACAAAGGAUUUUACAGUCAAAUCCUUAGCUUCAUCUUUACGAGAUGGUUUUGGAGAGGGCUGUGAAUUUGACUUUUGUCCCGAGGCCUUUUUUCACUUUGGGAAUAUUCUGCUGGGAGAGACUGAUCAUCAGAAAAAGAUUUUAACUUCCAACCCAGCUAGUCCUGACUCCUUUAUAUUUCCUCUAAAUUUUUCUUGAAAACUGAGUAAUUUCUCCUAUAGCUUAUCAUUAUCUGUAUUGUAUAAUAUGUUGCUAAAAGAAGCCAGGUAAGACUUCCAACCUUUAGCCUGAAAACUCCACACCAAUCCACCAGUUCACUGGGUAUGUUUUCUAUUUCUAUAUUAUCACGGGCAACACUUUUACUAACAAGGGCUUUCCCUCCAGCUUUAAUAAUUUUCCUCUCACAUUCCUUUAAGUCCUACUGACAACCUCAAGAGCUAU